Molecule: ribosomal RNA, 252 nt
Filed under: uncultured bacterium
Lineage: Bacteria
Description: partial 16S ribosomal RNA
Rfam family: Bacterial small subunit ribosomal RNA
Source: RNAcentral
GCAAGUCGAACGGUAACAGGCAAAGCUUGCUUUGUGCUGACGAGUGGCGGACGGGUGCGUAACGCGUGGGAACCUGCCUAUAAGUUGGGGAUAAGCCUUGGAAACAGGGUCUAAUACCGAAUACGGUCUACGGACUAAAGACUGCCUCUCCCUGGAAGCAGUUGCUUAUAGAUGAGCCCGCGUUGGAUUAGCUAGUUGGUUGGGUAAAGGCCGACCAAGGCGACGAUCCAUAGCUGGUUUGAGAGGAUGAUC